This 307-nucleotide ribosomal RNA is filed under the name uncultured bacterium. RNAcentral's name for it is "bacterial SSU rRNA". It matches the Rfam family "Bacterial small subunit ribosomal RNA", at positions 208 to 507 of the family's 1533-position model. The record is from RNAcentral.
CUUGCUAUCACUAAGAGAUGGUCCCGCGGUGUAUUAGUUAGUUGGUGAGGUAAUGGCUCACCAAGACAAUGAUACAUAGCCGAGUUGAGAGACUGACCGGCCACAAUGGGACUGAGACACGGCCCAUACUCCUACGGGAGGCAGCAGUAGGGAAUCUUCCACAAUGGACGAAAGUCUGAUGGAGCAACGCCGCGUGUGUGAUGAAGGGUUUCGGCUCGUAAAACACUGUUGUAAGAGAAGAAUGACAUUGAGAGUAACUGUUCAAUGUGUGACGGUAUCUUACCAGAAAGGAACGGCUAAAUACGUG